RNAcentral lists this transfer RNA (74 nucleotides) under compost metagenome. RNAcentral describes it as "tRNA-Gln". It matches the Rfam family "tRNA". Rfam says of the family: Transfer RNA (tRNA) molecules are approximately 80 nucleotides in length. Their secondary structure includes four short double-helical elements and three loops (D, anti-codon, and T loops). Further hydrogen bonds mediate the characteristic L-shaped molecular structure. tRNAs have two regions of fundamental functional importance: the anti-codon, which is responsible for specific mRNA codon recognition, and the 3' end, to which the tRNAs corresponding amino acid is attached (by aminoacyl-tRNA synthetases). tRNAs cope with the degeneracy of the genetic code in two manners: having more than one tRNA (with a specific anti-codon) for a particular amino acid; and 'wobble' base-pairing, i.e. permitting non-standard base-pairing at the 3rd anti-codon position. The record is from RNAcentral.
AGCCCCUUAGCUUAGUGGUAGAGCACGAGACUUUGAUCCUCGGGAUGUCUGUUCGAUUCAGUCAGGGGUUGCCA